This is a long non-coding RNA of Passer domesticus (house sparrow), 1418 nucleotides long. RefSeq lists it as uncharacterized. The transcript has 3 exons. NCBI's taxonomy places the organism in Eukaryota, Metazoa, Chordata, Aves, Passeriformes, Passeridae. The record is from RefSeq and is a predicted model, not a curated record.
GUUGGCUCAAAAACAAGCUCAGCAACACUACCAACACACGCCUGUAAGAGGCUGAUCUUCUGUUACUUUGCACUUGGGAGUUUAUUGGCCAGUGUAGCAUACUCUGCAAGAUUUUAGUACAAGGGUUUCCAUUCACACAGACAGAGUGAAGAAGACCACAGAGUGCAUAGAAACUUUUAACAAUUCUACUCCAUUCAUCCAAAUUUAGUCUCAGGCACGACCGAAAACAAAGAGACCACACCUGCUUGAGAGCAGCCGCCAUUGCAAAGCAGUAUGCUCGCAGGGGCAACGUGUCACCUUUUAGCUGUGCUUCUUCAAGCAGUCUCGCAGAGAUUUUGGAAGACUCUGGGUUGUCCUGCAUAGAAAUAUCAGAGGAAGUUGUGCUUGUUAUUCUGGCUACCUGAAAGGAGUAUAGGCACCUACAAUCAUAUUCAGAAGGUGUUCAGAAGUCAACAUACUGUACAAUCACAACAGCAAUAUGUAUCUGAACCCAACCAAGCAGAUUCUGUGAAGCUCUUUUUGAGAAACAGAACAUAAAAAUAUAAUAUUUGAAGUGACAGAGGUCACAGGAGGGUAUAAAUACUUCUAUUAUUUUUACAACUACACCUUGCCCUAACUAGCUGGGCUUCUGCAACAGAUGAAACAGCCCUACCAGUAUCCUAAACAAACAGACAUUUUCAUUUUCACUUUCAAAUAAUUUCUAAAUCAGGAAGGAAGAUUAAUUUUUGUUGUUACUUUAUUACAAAAGCUGCAUUAGAUAGUUACUGAAAAUCAACAUUUUCUAAACUUUGAACUAUUAAGUACCAUUCCACUAAAGAAAUCUGUAUACAUGUGAAUUUGAACAUUCAGACAUUUUUAGCCUCUCUUAAGGAUUAAUUAAUGGAAAAUGCUUACAAAUUAUAUAUUCUAAUAUUACAGCUUAAGAAAUCUGCCUUUUUCCAACACAGAAGGCUUCCAUUAUUGUUGGGAAUCUUCAACAGACGAUACUAAAAUGCAAUGAGUUUAGCUGUGUGCUACCUCUCAAACUAUCAACUCUCCAAACCAAUGCUGCUCACACUGGAAAUCACAAGUGGAACUGACUGGACCCCAAACAAAAUAGCAUCUGUCAAACCUAAAAGCUGGCAGCAGGAAGGUUUUGUAACAAUUAGUACCACCAAUAUGGAUAAUAGUCCUCAGAUUUGGUGUUGAUUUCUGUUCCUAGUAUUCAAAGUGUCAUUCCUGAAAAAUAUGGUUUAAAAUAUGUUCCUUGAAAAUUUAGAAAUAUUUUGACCACCAGAAGAUUGGUUAUUAUUAUAUAAAUAGUUUGUUAUCAUCAAAAGGCCCAUAGCUCUUUCCUGCACUAAAGGAAAGACCAUCUGUUACCUCAGAGUAUGGCAGUGCCUUACAGAGACUUAAACCAACCCAGAAGUGUUUUAGAG